GGGCUUGUAGCUCAGUUGGCUAGAGCGCUGCCUUCGCAUGGCAGAGGUCAGGGGUUCGACUCCCCUUAAGUCCA
This 74-nucleotide transfer RNA is filed under the name Candidatus Falkowbacteria bacterium RIFOXYB2_FULL_34_18. RNAcentral describes it as "tRNA-Ala". It matches the Rfam family "tRNA". Rfam says of the family: Transfer RNA (tRNA) molecules are approximately 80 nucleotides in length. Their secondary structure includes four short double-helical elements and three loops (D, anti-codon, and T loops). Further hydrogen bonds mediate the characteristic L-shaped molecular structure. tRNAs have two regions of fundamental functional importance: the anti-codon, which is responsible for specific mRNA codon recognition, and the 3' end, to which the tRNAs corresponding amino acid is attached (by aminoacyl-tRNA synthetases). tRNAs cope with the degeneracy of the genetic code in two manners: having more than one tRNA (with a specific anti-codon) for a particular amino acid; and 'wobble' base-pairing, i.e. permitting non-standard base-pairing at the 3rd anti-codon position. RNAcentral also lists the same sequence under 4 other names. Lineage: Bacteria; Candidatus Falkowiibacteriota. The record is from RNAcentral.